This 366-nucleotide ribosomal RNA is filed under the name uncultured bacterium. RNAcentral's name for it is "bacterial SSU rRNA". It matches the Rfam family "Bacterial small subunit ribosomal RNA", at positions 917 to 1289 of the family's 1533-position model. The record is from RNAcentral.
GGGCCCGCACAAGCGGAGGAGCAUGUGGUUUAAUUCGAUGAUACGCGAGGAACCUUACCAAGGCUUAAAUGUAAUAUGACCGGUUGAGAGAUCAACCUUUUUCGAACAGAUUACAAGGUGCUGCAUGGUUGUCGUCAGCUCGUGCCGUGAGGUGUCGGGUUAAGUCCCAUAACGAGCGCAACCCUAUCGUUAGUUGCCAUCAAGUAAAGUGGGAACUCUAGCGAAACUGCCGGUGCAAACCGAGAGGAAGGUGGGGAUGACGUCAAAUCAUCACGGCCCUUACGUUCUGGGCUACACACGUGCUACAAUGGUCGGUACAGAAAGCAGCCACUAUGCGAAUAGGAGCUAAUCUUUAAAACCGAUCUC